UACGGCCAUAUCACGUUGAAACACCGGUUCCCGUACGAUCACCGAAGUUAAGCAACGUCGAGCCUGAUCUAUAUCUCGAUGAGUGACCGCUUGGGAAUACCAUGUUCUGUAA
RNAcentral lists this ribosomal RNA (112 nucleotides) under Acanthosepion pharaonis. Lineage: Eukaryota; Metazoa; Mollusca; Cephalopoda; Sepiida; Sepiidae. The record is from RNAcentral.